UUGAUUCGCAGUGCUGCAUAAUGUCUAUUAACAAACUGGUUUUGAGGAAAUUUACAUCUUGAUAAAAUAACAGUAUAAUAAUAUAACAUAAUACAAAUCCAAGUACAUGGAUUAUCUGGACAAUGCUGCAUGAGGUAACUAUUCACAAGCAAUGAGCUUGCAUGACCUUGCCCAGAAAUACUCUUCUAUGUCAUGUAUAUCACAAGAGAUUCUUUUACUAGUCUACCAUGUAUUCUUCAAUACCCCACUUGUCUUACAAGUAAUGUUCCUACAUACCACCAACAUGCCAAUUCUAAAAGAAUAAGAAUUAUACAAAAGCUUAGGUUACAAGUACACUUCAUAUUGUUAUAUGCACAUUCAAGAAAAUGGCUUUUAAGUGGUUGGUUAUUGUUGUGAAGAGCUUGAUAUU
Molecule: long non-coding RNA, 409 nt
Filed under: Physcomitrium patens
Lineage: Eukaryota; Viridiplantae; Streptophyta; Bryopsida; Funariales; Funariaceae
Description: long non-coding RNA (PPAT_LNC007457)
Source: RNAcentral